Long non-coding RNA from Hemicordylus capensis (graceful crag lizard), 575 nucleotides. RefSeq lists it as uncharacterized. The record is from RefSeq and is a predicted model, not a curated record. The transcript has 2 exons. Lineage: Eukaryota; Metazoa; Chordata; Lepidosauria; Squamata; Cordylidae.
UCUGUUUUGGCAGCUGGGGAUGACAGUUGAGGCAGCUGGGCAGAGGUUAGUUGUGAGCUAACGGGGGGCGGGAAACGAGGUAAGGAAGAAGAAUUAAGAAGAAAAGAAAAAGGUAAGCAGCUAGGCAAGUAAAUGGAAGAGAGAGAUGUCAGGUUGAAAGUAAGAAGGAAAGAGGAAAAGUCUCUUCCAUCAUUCCAAUAGAAAAGACCAGCUGUUGAAAAGCAAAGCACUUUCUGAACUUCCAUCUUCAACAAACCUGUUUCAGAUACAGCCCACACAACAGGUCCAGUUCUACCUACUUUCUGGCUUGUGUUUCCUAAGGCUGUUGCAUCUGAUGAGAGUUUCUUUUCAUCUACCAAGUCUUGAGUGUUGUCUAUGUCUCUCACAACCAUCCACAUGCCAGAGAUACCACCUACUCUGGGUAUCACUAUGCCUGACAUUUCAGCGGCAAUCUGUCCUAGAACUUUAUUCUCCUUACAUUCAUUUCCUUCAAAACCAAAGCAAGAGAAUUGUGAGAGAGAUGUGUAGGCCAUUUCUACCUAGCUGACUGUCAAAUAAAUAACAGUUUCAACUUA